This 440-nucleotide ribosomal RNA is filed under the name uncultured bacterium. RNAcentral describes it as "partial 16S ribosomal RNA". It matches the Rfam family "Bacterial small subunit ribosomal RNA", at positions 338 to 795 of the family's 1533-position model. The record is from RNAcentral.
CCUACGGGUGGCAGCAGUAGGGAAUAUUGCUCAAUGGGGGCAACCCUGAAGCAGCAACGCCGCGUGGAGGAUGAAGGUUUUAGGAUUGUAAACUCCUUUUGUUAGAGAAGAUUAUGACGGUAUCUAACGCAUAAGCACUGGCCAUAUCCGUGACAGCAGCCGCGGUAAUACGGCGGGGGCAAGCGUUACUCGGAAUCACUGGGCGUAAAGGGUGCGUAGGCGGGGUAAUAAGUCAGAUGUGAAAUCCUUAAGUUUAAAUACAGAACUGCAUUUGAAACUGUUACUCUGGAGUGUGGUAGAGGUAGGUGGAAUUCUUGGUGUAGGGGUAAAAUCCGUAGAGAUCACGAGGAAUACUCAUUGCGAAGGCGGCCUGCUGGAACAUUACUGACGCUGAUGCACGAAAGCGUGGGGAGCAAACAGGAUUAGAUACCCCUGUAGUC